RNAcentral lists this ribosomal RNA (433 nucleotides) under uncultured bacterium. RNAcentral's name for it is "partial 16S ribosomal RNA". It matches the Rfam family "Bacterial small subunit ribosomal RNA", at positions 29 to 507 of the family's 1533-position model. The record is from RNAcentral.
AACGAACGCUGGCGGCAUGCCUAACACAUGCAAGUCGAACGAGACCUUCGGGUCUAGUGGCGCACGGGUGCGUAACGCGUUGGAACCUGCCCUUAGGUUCGGAAUAACUCCCCGAAAGGGGUGCUAAUACCGGAUAAUGUCUUCGGACCAAAGAUUUAUCGCCUUUGGAUGGGCCCGCGUUGGAUUAGCUAGUUGGUAGGGUAAAAGCCUACCAAGGCGACGAUCCAUAGCUGGUCUGAGAGGAUGAUCAGCCACACUGGUACUGAGACACGGCCCAGACGACUACGGGAGGCAGCAGUGGGGAAUAUUGGACAAUGGGCGAAAGCCUGAUCCAGCAAUGACGCGUGAGUGAUGAAGGCCUUAGGGUUGUAAAGCUCUUUUACCCGGGAUGAUAAUGACAGUACCGGGAGAAUAAGCUCCGGCUAACUCCGUG